UACGGAGGAUCCGAGCGUUAUCCGGAAUUAUUGGGUUUAAAGGGUGCGUAGGCGGCCAUUUAAGUCAGCGGUGAAAUUUUGCAGCUUAACUGUAACAGUGCCGUUGAUACUGUUUGGCUAGGAUUUGGUUGUAGUGUGCGGAAUGUGUGGUGUAGCGGUGAAAUGCUUAGAUAUCACACAGAACACCGAUUGCUAAGGCAGCACACUAAGUCAUUAUUGACGCUGAGGCACGAAAGUGUGGGGAUCAAACAGGAUUAGAUA
This 261-nucleotide ribosomal RNA is filed under the name uncultured prokaryote. RNAcentral describes it as "partial 16S ribosomal RNA". It matches the Rfam family "Bacterial small subunit ribosomal RNA", at positions 524 to 784 of the family's 1533-position model. The record is from RNAcentral.